ACUAAAUAAAAUAUAUAUUUUUUAUUUUCCUGUCGCUUGUCAUAACGAACCUUGAAAGACUCCGCCAUUGUUGUGACAACAUCGAGUUUAAAGUGCAGCUCCACGAAGCUCCCGAGACCAACACGAAGAUGUGGAGACUGGACCAAGGCGCCACGUAACAAGAACUCUAAAUGGUAUAAGAUCCUUUGGCACUGCCCAGUAAUUGCUAACAGUGCAUGACAAACGUGACCGAUCUAACCUAUGGUGAAGAUUAAGUGAGACGUGAGUGCCGGUAUUUAAAUAAUGGCGGCGUGACAAAGAUGUCCUCUAAAAGGUUUUUUUUUAAUUAUAAUUUGAAAAAGUUAUAACAGAAGUGGACGAAUAUCGGUGAAUGAGAAGUUAUAAUAAGGGGGAGAAUCGGUGAAUGAGAUGAAGAGAAUUUUGAAAGUAGAGAAUAUAAGGCUGGGAGUGAUCAUUCCAGUGGAUAAGUGACGACAGCGAAUUGGAUGGUUAAGUCGUCACUUCAGCUAAAGCAAGAGGAGAGGCAGGUGUCAGAGCAGCGAUGGAAAUAAGAAGAUUACGUAGGGAGGCUCUCCACAAGGCUACUGCUGUCCAGAAAUUUUAAACCAUGGUUUAUUGAACAUGGACAGCAUCCAAUUACUGUCCCCAAAUCUCCUCCUGCAACACAGUCACAGCUGGGAUCACAACCAAGCUGAAAGAUGGCAUGUGAUUGGUUGAUUCAACACCGAUCAUCAUCCUGCAGCACCAUACUUCAGAACCACCUCAUUCAGCACAACACAUCGUGGCCCACCUCCUUCAGCAACACAAGUCCUCCUAUCCCACCAUAAGUGUCAACUGAUACUUCACAGCCUAUAACACCAAGUAUGAUAUUCUACAUACAGUAUAUGUGUUUGGUCAUGAACCUUUAACACUGCUGAAGUUGUGUCUGACUCCCCUUAGUUGUGUAUAGUGGACAUCCCUUAGUUGUGUCUUACUCCCCUUAGUUGUGUAUGACUCCCUAUAGUUGUGUAUA
Long non-coding RNA from Homarus americanus (American lobster), 1012 nucleotides. RefSeq lists it as uncharacterized. Lineage: Eukaryota; Metazoa; Arthropoda; Malacostraca; Decapoda; Nephropidae. The record is from RefSeq and is a predicted model, not a curated record. The transcript is spliced from 3 exons.